UUUAUUUACCUUGUUGCUUCGGCGAGCCUGCCUUUUGGCUGCCGGGGGACGUCAGUCCCCGGGUCCGUGCUCGCCGGAGACACCUUAGAACUCUGUCUGAAGAUUGUAGUCUGAGAUUAAAUAUAAAUUAUUUAAAACUUUCAACAACGGAUCUCUUGGUUCCGGCAUCGAUGAAGAACGCAGCGAAAUGCGAUACGUAAUGUGAAUUGCAGAAUUCAGUGAAUCAUCGAGUCUUUGAACGCACAUUGCGCCCUCUGGUAUUCCGGAGGGCAUGCCUGUCCGAGCGUCAUUGCUGCCCUCAAGCACGGCUUGUGUGUUGGGCCCCGUCCUCCUUCCGGGGGACGGGUCCGAAAGGCAGCGGCGGCACCGCGUCCGGUCCUCAAGCGUAUGGGGCUUUGUCACUCGCUUUGUAGGCCUGGCCGGCGCUUGCCGAUCAACCAAACUUUUUAUCAGGUUGACCUCGGAUCAGGUAGGGAUACCCGCUGAACUUAAGCAUAUAU
This 500-nucleotide ribosomal RNA is filed under the name Penicillium brevicompactum. RNAcentral describes it as "partial 18S ribosomal RNA". The stretch from base 136 to 289 matches the Rfam family "5.8S ribosomal RNA". The record is from RNAcentral. Lineage: Eukaryota; Fungi; Ascomycota; Eurotiomycetes; Eurotiales; Aspergillaceae.